AGAGUUUGAUCCUGGCUCAGGACGAACGCUGGCGGCGUGCUUAACACAUGCAAGUCGAACGAGGCUCAACCGGGUAACCGGUGAAGGCCUAGUGGCGAACGGGUGCGUAACACGUGAGCAACCUGCCCCGAAGACCGGGAUAACAGCGGGAAACCGCUGCUAAUACCGGAUAUCCCCAUUAGAUCGCAUGAUCAUAUGAGGAAAUGGAUUCCGCUUCGGGAGGGGCUCGCGGCCUAUCAGCUUGUUGGCGGGGUAACGGCCCACCAAGGCAACGACGGGUAGCUGGUCUGAGAGGACGAUCAGCCACACUGGGACUGAGACACGGCCCAGACUCCUACGGGAGGCAGCAGUGGGGAAUCUUGCGCAAUGGGCGAAAGCCUGACGCAGCAACGCCGCGUGAGGGAUGACGGCCUUCGGGUUGUAAACCUCUUUCAAGCAGGGACGAUAAUGACGGUACCUGCAGAAGAAGCUCCGGCCAACUACGUGCCAGCAGCCGCGGUAAUACGUAGGGAGUAAGCGUUGUCCGGAAUCAUUGGGCGUAAAGAGCUCGUAGGCGGUUUGGUAAGUCGGAUGUGAAACCCCCAGGCUUAACCUGGGGCCGCCAUCCGAUACUGCCAUGACUUGAGUCCGGUAGGGGCCCACGGAACUCCUGGUGUAGCGGUGAAAUGCGCAGAUAUCAGGAAGAACACCGGUGGCGAAGGCGGUGGGCUGGGCCGGUACUGACGCUGAGGAGCGAAAGCGUGGGGAGCGAACAGGAUUAGAUACCCUGGUAGUCC
Molecule: ribosomal RNA, 776 nt
Filed under: uncultured bacterium
Lineage: Bacteria
Description: bacterial SSU rRNA
Rfam family: Bacterial small subunit ribosomal RNA
Source: RNAcentral